This 200-nucleotide ribosomal RNA is filed under the name uncultured soil bacterium. RNAcentral describes it as "partial 16S ribosomal RNA". It matches the Rfam family "Bacterial small subunit ribosomal RNA", at positions 26 to 228 of the family's 1533-position model. The record is from RNAcentral.
AGAUUGAACGCUGGCGGCAGGCCUAACACAUGCAAGUCGAGCGGUAGAGAGGUGCUUGCACCUCUUGAGAGCGGCGGACAGGUGAGUAAAGCCUAGGAAUCUGCCUGGUAGUGGGGGAUAACGCUCGGAAACGGACGCUAAUACCGCAUACGUCCUACGGGAGAAAGCAGGGGACCUUCGGGCCUUGCGCUAUCAGAUGA